Molecule: ribosomal RNA, 345 nt
Filed under: Triticum aestivum (bread wheat)
Lineage: Eukaryota; Viridiplantae; Streptophyta; Magnoliopsida; Poales; Poaceae
Description: partial small subunit ribosomal RNA
Source: RNAcentral
AUGAAUCGCUUAGUGUGGAACUACCAAGGGGGGGGGAGCCGCCGGACAGUUCGAGAGUUGUUGGCGCUCACUCAAGCCAAAAUCCCCAAGCUUGUCUUACGUAAAACUAGGUAAGCUUCAGGUCGCGUGGAAAGGUUGAAAGGUCGACUUGGUAUGAGAGGAUUUUGUGGAGUAGGCAGUCAAUGGCUCAGUGGUCGGCUUGCUUUAUUUUGGGAUGAAUUGCUGCAAGUUAAUGUUUUAGAUAAAUGUGACAAAUAUAUUGAUGUUCAUGUGGUUGAUCUAGGUAAUGAUCCUAGUUGGAAAACAAUAUAUGUAUGUAUAUGGCGAGCCGCGGAUGGAGAAUAA